RNAcentral lists this ribosomal RNA (479 nucleotides) under Talaromyces flavus. RNAcentral's name for it is "eukaryotic LSU rRNA". The stretch from base 129 to 282 matches the Rfam family "5.8S ribosomal RNA". The record is from RNAcentral. Lineage: Eukaryota; Fungi; Ascomycota; Eurotiomycetes; Eurotiales; Trichocomaceae.
UGUUGCUUUGGCGGGCCCACCGGGGCCACCUGGUCGCCGGGGGACGCACGUCCCCGGGCCCGCGCCCGCCGAAGCGCUCUGUGAACCCUGAUGAAGAUGGGCUGUCUGAGUACGAUGAAAAUUGUCAAAACUUUCAACAAUGGAUCUCUUGGUUCCGGCAUCGAUGAAGAACGCAGCGAAAUGCGAUAAGUAAUGUGAAUUGCAGAAUUCCGUGAAUCAUCGAAUCUUUGAACGCACAUUGCGCCCCCUGGCAUUCCGGGGGGCAUGCCUGUCCGAGCGUCAUUUCUGCCCUCAAGCACGGCUUGUGUGUUGGGUGUGGUCCCCCCGGGGACCUGCCCGAAAGGCAGCGGCGACGUCCGUCUGGUCCUCGAGCGUAUGGGGCUCUGUCACUCGCUCGGGAAGGACCUGCGGGGGUUGGUCACCACCAUAUUUUACCACGGUUGACCUCGGAUCAGGUAGGAGUUACCCGCUGAACUUAA